AUUUUUUCUCUUCUUUUCAAAUCUAGAAGCACGUAUGCUUUUCAAUUUCAAUUUCUCUUCUUUUCUAACUUUUCACUGGUACAAGCAAAGAUUUUUUCUCUUCUUUUCAAAUCUAGAAGCACGUAUGGAUAAACACCACAAUUUUCCACCUUUUUCCCUUCCCCUCAAGACAGAACAAUUUUUGCAAUUCUUCCUUCUCUUUUCUUAUUAUUAUAAGCUGGUUUUUUUCCAUGGAUCUACUUCUUUUGUUUGUGGUUCGCAAAGUUUUUAAGAGAUGAGUUUUUGAUUUUUGUCUGCUUUUUCUAUUUCCAUUUGUUCAUGUUGAUGGGUUUUUCGAUUGUCUGUGUAGGGUUUUUGCAUCUAUACACUCUUUUGUGUUUUAUCUUUCCAUUCUUUUUUUUUUUUUUGGUUUUGGUUGUUUGCUUUUUACUUGGAGAUACUGAUUUGUUUCCCUUUUUACUUUGUUACAGGUUGCUUUGACCUUCGAAGCCAUUGAUUCACCUAGCCUUGAGUGGGGAUCCAGGUUACGAAACCAAGGUGGUUGUGAGGAUAUGUCUUGAUGAUGAUAUUGACAUGUUCCUAGCAUUGUUGGUGAUGGAUGGUUCUUGCAUGAUAGAGUAAUUGUAUGACAAUUCAUUGGAACCCUCAUGAUGUUCAGGUAAUCAAUUUUUAACUGGUUUUCAGAACUUUUCCAAGAAGUUUUUUUUUCAAAAUGUCCCCCCUUGCUAUUGACAGGUGAUUUUGAGGCUAAUUAUUAAUAGAUUUUAAAUUUAUUAAGAGGCUGGUUUCUAGAAGUGUUUUUCAAUUUCUAGCUUUGGGAAAGUCAGUGAUUGGUGGGUAAUUGGACGAGUCCGCGAGUUUAGGUUAGUUGGUUUGAAUUGUUAUGAGUAGUUUACGAAAGUUAAUGCUAAUUUAAAAUGUAGAAAUCUGGAAGAAAUUCUGAGCUUUUUAUUGGGACUUGAUAUGUUAGAAAUGAUUAGAAAUUGGAUAAAUCACUAGCUGUUGUUUAUGAAAUUUGCUGGUGCUCUAUGUAAAAAAAAGAAGAAGCCAGAUUGGUCUCCAUUCCAUGAUAAUGUUCAAUGUGUUUGCUUUGUCUAUCUUCAUGCCAGAUUUCAAUGUUUAAUUCAAAAAUCAUAUGAAGUUGGUCAUGAUCAUGGUCAUAUUCACUGUACAAAGAACAAUUUCUGAUUUCAUAGUAAUGAUUGGUGAUGUUCCAGCGUGUAUCUUUAGGAAAUAGUUUGAGAAUUUAUAAAAUUAGAUUGGGUUCAAAGUUGUUAUAACAUAAACAACAUUUUAAGUUACAGUUGGUGGGGAAGGAGAUUGAUUAUGAUCUGUAUUGCACCUAAGAAAACGUCAGGAACUGCUGUUCCUACAAUGAAUAACAGAAAUUGCAAUGUUCUGGGCUAGCAGAUUUCUUUCUUCUUAAAUUUUGCCCUUAGUGCUUCACUCUAUUGGAUCAGUUGGUCACCUCUAAUAACUUGCUGCAUUGGGAUACUAAACUUGCUGAAAUGACAUAAACCAUGCUUUCAAACUCUACUUUGAUUAUUUUUUCCAGUGGAGAUGAUUGCAAGCAAAAUCUGUGAUUCAUGGUGCGCUAGGAUAUCCAAUCCUUUUUUUUUUCUAAGAGUCAUAUGAAGAAAAUGCGCAAUUAAGUGCACAAUGCUUUAUGCAGCAUUUGAAAGCUAAGAUUUGAUGCUUCUAUAUGUGCAAUCCAUUAUAUUUACCACAUGUUCAUCCUAUUUUACAUCAGCAAGUUUGUCCUUUCCUCACUCUUCUUCUUCUUCGCAUAGGACUCGGUUCCUAUAGAUAAAGAGCAUACAUGAAACAUGCCUUUGGUAAAGAUACUAAAAUAUAUGUAUAAAGUCAUGUUAAUCACAUGAUGAUGACAGGCUUGGCUUGCGCAAAAUUAACCACAUGUUUUGAACAAAAUUUUCAUUUUGUUAGUUUUAAAUGAAUACUUUAGUUGUUUGCUACUUUGAAUAGUCAGAAUACAUUUUUUUUCCUUGCCUGGUUAAUAGCUCCUAUCAGGGUUAUCAAUGCAUUCAUAAAGGCUAAUCAUUGUGUUUUUUUUUUAUAUUCCAUUUAUUUUAUACAUCUAUUCUUGAGAUGUUUGUGCCAAUAUUUUACUCUACAAAUUAUUGUUAUCAUUCAAUUUCUCAACAAAUUGUCCCCUGUAACUCAUUCGAUCAAUUAAAAACAUCUCUCUUAUGUUCACAUCUAUACAUCAUGCUAUAUUUCUCAUAUUUUCUUGCUUAAAGCUACCUAUAUAUAUGUGUGUGUGUCCCACACUUUUCUUUACAGCUUAUUAUAUUAGAGGACUUUAUGACUUCUGACAUAAUUUCUCUAAUUUUUUUUUUAUAGAACUUCAAAAUAAAAUUUUCCAUUGUUAUUAAGUUUUUUCACCUUUUAUCGGUAUACAACAAUUGUAAAAAGAAAAACAAAGAAUAAACAAUGAAAAAAACAGUUUAAUUAUUCUUAUAAUGACACGAUACAAUCAAUGACCCACAGGUUCUUCUCUCAUUAUAUUUUAUGCAAAUUAACAUUAACAUUAAUUAACAAUUAACAAAGAAACUAAAUCAUUUUUUUUGCUUCUGCAUUAUUAAGUAAAUUAGUGGGCCAGUACGCAUUAAAUAUUUUCUAUUUGCUGGCAGCAUACCCUUUGUUUUCUUUUGAAUCUGCAUUGUUAAUUAAAUUAGUGGGUCAAUAUGCAUUAAAUGCAUCCUAUUUGCUGCAGUAUUAAUUAAAUAGGUGGGCCAGUACGCAUUAAAUAUUUUCUAUUUGCUGGCAGCAUACCCUUUGUUUUCUUUUGAAUCUGCAUUGUUAAUUAAAAGUAGUGGGUCAAUAUGCAUUAAAUGCAUCCUAUUUGCUGCAGCAUUAAUUAAAUUAGUGGGCCAGUACGCAUUAAAUAUUUUCUAUUUGCUGGCAGCAUACCCUUUAGUUUCUUUUGAAUCUGCAUUGUUAAUUAAAUGAGUGGGUCAAUAUGCAUUAAAUGCAUCCUAUUUGCUGCAGCAAAUACGCUGCAUAGCAACCAUGCUCAAGGGAGGAUCUCUAGACGUUCUGAUACUACUAUACUAGCCCGACGGCGGGCACUAUCAUCAUGACAUAUAUAUGGUCUCUGUUGUUAAAAUUAUUUUUUUUCAUUGAAGUGCAUCUAAAAAUAUAUUAUAUGCUUUGUCUAUAUCCGGUCUCUGUAUUUCUUUGCCCACCAGUUAUUGCACUCUCUUUUCAUCUUUCUCCAUUGCCUCUCUUGCUGGUUGUUGCACCAUCAGUUUAGUUUUUUUCCCUCUUUUCAUUGCCUCUCUUACUAUUUUUUUUUAGUUUGUUUUUUUAUGCAUCCAUAAUUAAUCUGUGUGGUUCCUUUGUUUUCAGCAGAUUUGUUGAGCUUUUCUAGCCUUCUUUUCGGUUGGGUUGCUGCUUUGUUCACGUUAACGCUUGCUUGCCUUACGCUGCUGGUAUGUGCAUGUAUUAUUGGUCUGCAAGAUUAAUGGUUGUCUUCUUCUUGCUAUGUUGAACUGUGAGACCAGCUUCUCUUUUUUUUUUUUCCAUUUGUUUUUUAACCAACCAGCAAGGGUGUUGCUUGCUAAGAAAUUGUAUUCAAAUUCGUUUCUGCUGUAUUUUCUUCCCUUUUGAUGGUUGUUGAAUUUGUGCUUUAGAUUCCCAUCUUUAUUUAUUUAGCCAAUUCAUGUUGCAAUUUAUAUUUGUUCUUUU
This 3708-nucleotide long non-coding RNA is filed under the name Populus tremula. Its description in RNAcentral is "long non-coding RNA (PTRE_LNC002009)". Lineage: Eukaryota; Viridiplantae; Streptophyta; Magnoliopsida; Malpighiales; Salicaceae. The record is from RNAcentral.